AUGGCUGUUAUUAGAAAAAACGUUUCUUAGUUAAGGACAAAAAAAGACGUCUCCUAAAGACACGUGUCUCUCAUUGAAGGGAGUUUAGCUUUUUUCUCUUCACAUCUUUCUCUCUCGACGGAAGACGAUCUGGAUUCACGGUGGGAAGAAGCGACCGGAGAAGCUGUUGACGAAGUCAUCUUCCUCAGCCGUCACACCACCGUCUCGAACCGUACUGCUCUGCCUGUUCACCCCAUCAGUGGGGUUUGUGACUUUUUUCCUCAGUUCGAUUCUAGACAACCUGAGCUCUACCAUUGUCAUGGUUUCUUUACUCAGGAAACUGGUUCCUCAAUCAGAGUACCGCAAACUUCUAGGAGCUGUUGUGGUGAUGGCAGCAAAUGCAGGAGGAGCAUGGACUCCAAUUGGUGAUGUUACGACAACUAUGCUAUGGAUUCAUGGUCUUGGAGUUCUCUGGGUCUUGACAGACGCCAUCCACUACGGUGAAUCAGAAAGACAAAAGCUCAAAAUACCUCAAGCCUUAUCCUUCACUAGUAUAGAAUGAAUUAUCCAGUAAGAUUUAUGCAUUUCGAGUUUUUAUGUGUUGUCUGGAAAGUGUAAGACUAGUUUGAGGGAACCAAACUCUUCAAUUGCAGAAAUGUCUCUGAUCUUUUUCAAAGUUUCUUUGCUAGGUUGUUUCAUCUAAGCCCUGUCAACAGGUAUUGCAUGUAUUGAAGAGUACCGUGUUCCUCUUCAUCCUCUUCUUUUUCCUCUAGUCCUUCUUCCUCCUUGUCCAUGGCUUCCAUUGUCUUUGAGCUUUUGCCAUCUAAACCUCUCUGCAUUUUAGAUCAAGGAAAAUAUUUACUAAGAGACAACAUAAA
Molecule: long non-coding RNA, 857 nt
Organism: Brassica oleracea var. oleracea
Lineage: Eukaryota; Viridiplantae; Streptophyta; Magnoliopsida; Brassicales; Brassicaceae
Exons: 3
Source: RefSeq, a predicted model, not a curated record